RNAcentral lists this ribosomal RNA (2038 nucleotides) under Protosilvanus lateritius. RNAcentral's name for it is "SSU rRNA". It matches the Rfam family "Eukaryotic small subunit ribosomal RNA". The record is from RNAcentral. Lineage: Eukaryota; Metazoa; Arthropoda; Insecta; Coleoptera; Silvanidae.
UUGUCUCAAAGAUUAAGCCAUGCAUGUCUCAGUACAAGCCAAAAUAAGGUGAAACCGCGAAAGGCUCAUUAAAUCAGUUAUGGUUCCUUAGAUCGUACCACACAUUUACUUGGAUAACUGUGGUAAUUCUAGAGCUAAUACAUGCAAACAGAGUUCCAACCAGAAAUGGAAGGAACGCUUUUAUUAGAUCAAAACCAAUCGGUAGCGGGUGUGCGUUCACGCGUAUACUCGUUAUCGUACAAUUUGGUGACUCUGAAUAACUUUAUGCUGAUCGCAUGGUCUUGCACCGGCGACGCAUCUUUCAAAUGUCUGCCUUAUCAACUGUCGAUGGUAGGUUCUGCGCCUACCAUGGUUGUAACGGGUAACGGGGAAUCAGGGUUCGAUUCCGGAGAGGGAGCCUGAGAAACGGCUACCACAUCCAAGGAAGGCAGCAGGCGCGCAAAUUACCCACUCCCGGCACGGGGAGGUAGUGACGAAAAAUAACGAUACAAGACUCAUCCGAGGCCUUGUAAUCGGAAUGAGUACACUUUAAAUCCUUUAACGAGGAUCAAUUGGAGGGCAAGUCUGGUGCCAGCAGCCGCGGUAAUUCCAGCUCCAAUAGCGUAUAUUAAAGUUGUUGCGGUUAAAAAGCUCGUAGUCGAAUCUGUGUCCCACACCGUUGGUUCAUCCUUCGGGGUGUUAACUGGCGUGUUUGUGGGACGUCCUGCCGGUGGGCUUAGCCUGCUUCGCAUCUCAUGCGUCGCAAUACUAGUAUCCUAGCGGUGCUAGCUGUUGUGUGCGUAUGUUGGUGUGUUGUCUAUGGCGGCUCAAUACAAAAUCCCGCUUCGGUGCUCUUCACUGAGUGUCGUGGUGGGCCGGCACGUUUACUUUGAACAAAUUAGAGUGCUUAAAGCAGGCCAAAAUUUUGCCUGAAUAUUCUGUGCAUGGAAUAAUGGAAUAGGAUCUCGGUUCUAUUUUGUUGGUUUCCGGAACCCCGAGAUAAUGAUUAAUAGGUACGGAUGGGGACAUUCGUAUUGCGACGUUAGAGGUGAAAUUCUUGGAUCGUCGCAAGACGGACAUAAGCGAAAGCAUUUGUCAAAAACGCUUUCAUUGAUCAAGAACGAAAGUUAGAGGUUCGAAGGCGAUCAGAUACCGCCCUAGUUCUAACCAUAAACGAUGCCAGCUAGCGAUCCGCCAAAGUUCCUCCGAUGACUUGGCGGGCAGCUUCCGGGAAACCAAAGCUUUUGGGUUCCGGGGGAAGUAUGGUUGCAAAGCUGAAACUUAAAGGAAUUGACGGAAGGGCACCACCAGGAGUGGAGCCUGCGGCUUAAUUUGACUCAACACGGGAAACCUCACCAGGCCCAGACCUGGAAGGAUUGACAGAUUGAGAGCUCUUUCUUGAUUCAGUGGGUGGUGGUGCAUGGCCGUUCUUAGUUGGUGGAGCGAUUUGUCUGGUUAAUUCCGAUAACGAACGAGACUCUGGCCUACUAAAUAGGCGUAAAUUAGCGACAUCUCAAAGGCUCGCCUUCACAUCUUUUACUUGUGUGUCUCACAAUGUAUUUGUAGUGUGUGUAUGUAAGUAUGUGCCUGUAAAAGGGUUCAUGCCCAUGCACAUUGCUGCUGGUGCUUGUGUGUUCUAUGCAUGUGAUUGUGUGUUGUGCGCAGUUUUUACUGUCGGCGUAUAAACAAAUCUUCUUAGAGGGACAGGUGGCUUCUAGCCGCACUAGAAUGAGCAAUAACAGGUCUGUGAUGCCCUUAGAUGUUCUGGGCCGCACGCGCGCUACACUGAAGGAAUCAGCGUGUCUUCCCUGACCGAAUGGUCCGGGUAACCCGUUGAAUCUCCUUCGUGCUAGGGAUUGUGGCUUGCAAUUGUUCCACAUGAACGAGGAAUUCCCAGUAAGCGUGAGUCAUAAGCUCGCGUUGAUUACGUCCCUGCCCUUUGUACACACCGCCCGUCGCUACUACCGAUUGAAUGAUUUAGUGAGGUCUUCAGAUUGGUACACGUUGCCGCUUCGGCGUUUGACGUUGCUGCUGAGAAGAUGACCAAACUUGAUCAUUU